GCGAUGAACCAUGCUGCCGCGGGGCGGCGUUUUUGCGGGCUUGCCUGCCGGGCGCCGCCUUGAGGAAAGUCCGGGCUCCGCAGGGCGUGAUGCCGGGUAAUCCCCGGGCGGGGAGGGCGAAAGCCCUUUCCGACAGAGAGCGCAACAGAAAAUAUACAGCCCCCGGGGGCCGUUCUGUAUGGGGCGGUUCCCGGGGGUAAUGGUGAAAAGGCAGGGUAAGAGCCUACCGCGGGAUUGGCGACAAUUCCGGCACGGCAAGCCUCAUCAGGAGCAAAGUCAAGCAGCGGCAGAACGGCCCGUUUAAUGCCGCGGGUAGACUGCAUGGAUGCUUUCCGCAAGGAACGGCACAAGAUAGAUGGCAGCGUUAUACUGAACCCGGCUUAUGGUUCAUCGCUUUU
RNAcentral lists this RNase P RNA (398 nucleotides) under Treponema sp. Its description in RNAcentral is "RNase P RNA component class A". It matches the Rfam family "Bacterial RNase P class A". From Rfam's summary of the family: Ribonuclease P (RNase P) is a ubiquitous endoribonuclease, found in archaea, bacteria and eukarya as well as chloroplasts and mitochondria. Its best characterised activity is the generation of mature 5'-ends of tRNAs by cleaving the 5'-leader elements of precursor-tRNAs. Cellular RNase Ps are ribonucleoproteins. Lineage: Bacteria; Pseudomonadati; Spirochaetota; Spirochaetia; Treponematales; Treponemataceae. The record is from RNAcentral.